GUGUUUUUUUCUAAACCGCUCGUCCGAAUGAAGCAACCGAUACACCGUUGGAUAGAUAUCGUCGAGGCGCAUCUUUUUCAUAUCUAUUAUUUUCUCUAAUUCAUUACGGUUUAAGAGCAGUUUCAAAUUUACUAAAUCGCGAAAUUCUGUUUUUCAAAUUGUUUUCAAAUUUUUGGCACUGUUUUCGCUCCAGUUUUUUAACCGUUUGUCAAAACGAGGCGUGUAAUAUACCGUUGAAAAGCUAUGUACGAGGCACAACUUUCAUAUGUUGAAAUGUUUUUAAGAUUCCUUACGGUUUUAAGUUAAUUUUGAAAAUCGUGCGGCCAACGAAGAGUGGCAGCGGCCGUUUUUUGGGAAAUUUUAAAAAACCGUUGGUUGGAACGAUUCAAAUGAUACGCCGUUGGAAAGAUAUCGACGAGGCGCAACUUUUUCAUGUAGAACAAUCUCUCUAAUUUUUUACGGUUUAAGAGGAAUUUCAAAUUUACCAAAAUGCGGACACUGUUUUUCGCGACACCCAAAUCGACGUGGGUACUUCAUCCGACUGAAAACCGCACUGCAUCGGACGAAAACCGCACUGCAUCAGACGGGUAAAAGAACUGCAUGGUUUUUUUAUUCAAACGUAAUUUUUUCAAGGAGGAGAAAGUAGAGUGCACUUCACAUCGGGUCUAAAUGAACCACAACACUAUCAAGAAGUGAACCGCGUUACUUUUUUCGCUUCCGUAACAAGUUUUUUGCACUUACGGGAUGAACAACAUCAUACGCCGACCGCACUGCUUCAGAAUGAAAACCGCACUGCAUCGGACGGGCAAGCGAGCUGCAUAAUUUCUUUUGUCGGCGUAAAUUUUCUUAGACGAGUUUUUGUUGUCUUUUUUCCAACUUUUUUUUACAAAAGAGAGUGGACCGCAGAGACGAGCGCAAGUGAACCACAACGUUAUCGAAAGUGAACCACAUUACUUUUUUUUUAUCAUUUUUUCUAAUAUAUUUUUAUGAAUAUGUGACAUUGAGACAAGGCAAGCGGACUGCAUCAUAUUUUUUUAGUAUUUUUUUCUGCACAAGGAAUCAAAGUGCACUGCAUAAACUAAUUUUUUUUCCUUUGCAACAACAAAGUGUACUACAGCAAGAGGGUUUAGUUUUUUGGGUGGUGACCAAAGUGAACCUGAUAGUGAACCGUGUCGUGCGAACCAAAGAAAAAAUACAAAAAAACUUCACACACAAGCCGUGCCAACCGCAAGCAGCGCCCCAAUGGACUGCAUCACUUUUUAUAUUUUUUACACUUUUUCUCACACUUUUUCAUCAGAACAAAGUGAACUUAAAAAAUGUUUUAUUUACUUCUGUAGAUCCCCGGUGAACUACACGCCCACACCACUGGACUGCACGCGUCGUGCGGGUGGGCUGCAAUCAAAUGGGAGUCCACAAAUAAGCCAAAAAUUUUACAAGGACUUCUUAAAACGGAAAAUACACAAUCGGGGGUCCCGGAAAAAUGACCAGCACCAGUUGCAGUGAAUGUUUGUCAGGUAAAACAAAACCAAAUAGCACGGGGGGCGGCUCCAACUACACGCGCGAGGUAACCUCACUGCAGCACCCGGGCGACCUAACCACAUUGGGAAGCUGGAGCGAACUGCACCCGAGAGGGCCGUCGUCGACCACCAUUUUUUUCUUGCAUCCAAGAUGACUAAAAGCUCGAGAGAGGGAAGGGGCUGAUCCCUCGCACCUGGGCUGCUCGUAAGAGAGUGGCUAGAGUUGGUGGUGGCUAGCUAGGGGCUGAAGGGCCCGGAUAUGGCGCUGGAGCGGUCUAGGGAGGCCAGCACCUCGAGCAGCAACGCGGGGUGCAGUGCAGGUCUCAUCAGUGCACACUCGCCCACUGCACAUCACCAAACAAAGGGGAGGAAAGCUUCAGUAGAGGAGUUAGACCCCUGGGAGUCAUAGGCAAACAAACAUUCAGACCAAACCGAUUGUUGAAUUUCAUAGGGCACGCCACCGAACUGCACACCACGCCCAUGACCGCUUCCAAACUACAAAGAACGCGGCACUAAACUGCAAAGUGUUUGUAACACAAAUAAAUUACAAUCAGAUCCUGGAACUUCAACAAAAAAAAUCAUAAAAUGAACUGCACGCUGGCACACCUGAACCUUAAAAUGAAUAAGGUGUGCGACAAACUGCAUCUUGCGUCGCUGGUAGAAGAAAUUUCACCGAGGAGCUUGGAGAUGUGGAGGUCGGAGCAAAUGGGAAGGCGCUGCCGUUGCAAACUGCACUCCUCGUCAUGCUUGUAGGAGACCAUCGGGGGAGGAGGAGAACUUGAGAACAGGGGCGGGCGAUGGAGCUCAUGGGCGUCGGGGGGAACAACGCCCACACCUCGUGAAUGGGUGGACCGGCUAGGGAUAGGGGAGGUCCGUCGCGGUGAGCCGGAUCCACGGCCGUCGCGGCUUGGCGGUGAAGGGGAAAGGAAUGGCAGGGGGAUGGAGACCCACGGCCGUCGCGAUCAGACGGAUCUGACGUGAGGGAGGUCAAAGUCGCUGGCUGGAAUCCGUCGGUGGCGCGUCACGCUGGAUCCGUGAGGCCACGGGGUGUCGGCGCUAGGUGGUUGCCGGGGCAGACGGCAGGGGCCGGGGGCUGGCGGCGCUAGGUGUUGGCAGGGACGGGCGGCGCGGGGGAGGGAGGUGGUGGUGCGGCGCGGUGGAGGNNNNNNNNNNNNNNNNNNNNNNNNNNNNNNNNNNNNNNNNNNNNNNNNNNNNNNNNNNNNNNNNNNNNNNNNNNNNNNNNNNNNNNNNNNNNNNNNNNNNNNNNNNNNNNNNNNNNNNNNNNNNNNNNNNNNNNNNNNNNNNNNNNNNNNNNNNNNNNNNNNNNNNNNNNNNNNNNNNNNNNNNNNNNNNNNNNNNNNNNNNNNNNNNNNNNNNNNNNNNNNNNNNNNNNNNNNNNNNNNNNNNNNNNNNNNNNNNNNNNNNNNNNNNNNNNNNNNNNNNNNNNNNNNNNNNNNNNNNNNNNNNNNNNNNNNNNNNNNNNNNNNNNNNNNNNNNNNNNNNNNNNNNNNNNNNNNNNNNNNNNNNNNNNNNNNNNNNNNNNNNNNNNNNNNNNNNNNNNNNNNNNNNNNNNNNNNNNNNNNNNNNNNNNNNNNNNNNNNNNNNNNNNNNNNNNNNNNNNNNNNNNNNNNNNGACGGCACGGUGGAGGGACGUGGUGGUGCAGCGGCGCGGUGGAGGGAGGUGUGGUGGCGGCGCAGUGGAGGGAGGUGGUGGUGCGGCGGUGCGGUGGAGGGACGUGGGGCGGGGUGGGGUGGCCGCGGCCCCGGCUGAAGGGAGGAGGUGGAGGAGUGGGUGGAGGGGAGAGUUCGUGGGUGGAGGGGAUAGGUCGUGGGUGGAGACAGUUUUCUCAGGGUGCUAUGCGAUUGUCAGCAGAAUAAUCUUAGGUGUUAGCAGAAUAAGGUCUUAAGGAGUGUUAUCAUAAUAGACCCAUACACACACACACACACAUAAACACUAUUCUAACCACAAGAUAAGAAUAUUAUUCUGAUCACAACCUGAACUUCCUGAGUUACACGCCUAAACUUCUCUCUGUACGAACCCGACCUUCGGGCUAUCUUCGCAACCGUGUCUCCCCGCACGAAUUAUUCUAUUUAGUCAUGUUCUAUAUGAUGUAAGUGUAAUCUAGAAAUUGUUUUUAGCAACUAAAUAUUGGUGAACGUAGCGGAAAUUCAAAAUUUUCUACGCAUCGCCAAGAUCAAUCUAUGGAGUAAUCUAGCAAUGAGGGGAAGGGGAGUGCAUCUACAUACCCUUGUAGAUCGCGAUGCGGAAGCGUUGCAAGAACGCGGAUGAAGGAGUCGUACUCGUAGCGAUUCAGAUCGCGGUUGAUUCCGAUCUAAGCGCCGAACCACGGCGCCUCCGCGUUCAACACACGUGCAGCCCGGUGACGUCUCCCACGCCUUGAUCCAGCAAGGAGAGAGGAAGAGGUUGGGGAAGACUCCGUCCAGCAGCAGCACGACGGCGUGGUGGUGAUGGAGGAGCGUGGCAAUCCUGCAGGGCUUCGCCAAGCACCGCGGGAGAGGAGGACAUGGAAGAGGGAAGGGCUGCGCCAAGAGGGAGAGCAAAUCAUCUGUUGGGCAGCCCCCAUACCUCAAGUAUAUAUAGGGGAAGAGGAGGGGCUGCGCCCCCACCUAGGGUUCCCUCCCCAGGGGUGGCGGAAGCCCCCAGAUCCCAUCUGGGUGGCGGCCAAGGGGGAGAAAGGGGGGGCGCACCUAGGGUGGGCCUUAGGGCCCGUCUGCUCCUAGGGUUUGCCCCCUCUCCUCUUGAGGGCGCCUUGGGCCUUGGUGGGAGGCGCCCCAGCCCACCUAGGGGCUGGUCCCUUCCCACUAUUGGCCCACGUAGGCCUCUGGGGCUGGUGGCCCCACCUGGUGGACCCCCGGGACCCUCCCGGUGGUCCCGGUACGUUACCGAUAGCACCCGAAACUUUUCCGGUGACCAAAACAGGACUUCCCAUAUAUAAAUCUUUACCUCCGGACCAUUCCGGAACUCCUCGUGACGUCCGGGAUCUCAUCCGGGACUCCGAACAACAUUCGGUAACCACGUAUACCUAUUCCCUAUAACCCUAGCGUCAUCGAACCUUAAGUGUGUAGACCCUACGGGUUCGGGAACCAUGCAGACAUGACCGAGACGUUCUCCGGUCAAUAACCAACAGCGGGAUCUGGAUACCCAUGUUGGCUCCCACAUGUUCCACGAUGAUCUCAUCGGAUGAACCACGAUGUCGGGGAUUCAAUCAAUCCCGUAUACAAUUCCCUUUGUCUACCGGUAUAGUACUUGCCCGAGAUUCGAUCGUCGGUAUCCCGAUACCUUGUUCAAUCUCGUUACCGGCAAGUCUCUUUACUCGUUCCGUAACACAUCAUCCCGUGAUCAACUCCUUGGUCACAUUGUGCACAUUAUGAUGAUGUCCUACCGAGUGGGCCCAGAGAUACCUCUCCGUUUACACGGAGUGACAAAUCCCAGUCUCGAUUCGUGCCAACCCAACAGACACUUUCGGAGAUACCUGUAGUGCACCUUUAUAGCCACCCAGUUACGUUGUGACGUUUGGUACACCCAAAGCAUUCCUACGGUAUCCGGGAGUUGCACAAUAUCAUGGUCUAAGGAAAUGAUACUUGACAUUAGAAAAGCUCUUAGCAAACGAACUACACGAUCUUGUGCUAGGCUUAGGAUUGGGUCUUGCCCAUCACAUCAUUCUCCUAAUGAUGUGAUCCCGUUAUCAACGACAUCCAAUGUCCAUGGUCAGGAAACCGUAACCAUCUAUUGAUCAACGAGCUAGUCAACUAGAGGCUUACUAGGGACAUGGUGUUGUCUAUGUAUCCACACAUGUAUCUGAGUUUCCUAUCAAUACAAUUUUAGCAUGGAUAAUAAACGAUUAUCACGAACAAGGAAAUAUAAUAAUAAUAACCAAUUUAUUAUUGCCUCUAGGGCAUAUUUCCAACACUAAAUGCCCGUUUUAAAUAGGAAACUCGCUCGUUGCCGGAUUUUGCUCUCGGUUCGUGAUGAACUUGCAUUUUUUGCAAUUUUACUGCCUGUGUUGUUCGACCUAAACUUCCCCCUGUGCUAAGUUGAACUUUCGCCAACAUUGCCCAAAUGGGGCUUGCGAUAUACCGUUGGAGAGCUAUGGACACGAGUAUCAUGACCCAAGUUAAAUUUUUGGCAAAUGUAAGCGGUUCAAGAGCAGUUUUGAAAACCGUUUUUUCUUCAUACAAAAAACGUGAAUCGUAUUUUCGAUCGCAUUUCUAAACCGUUUAUAGGAAUGAGCCGAAUAAUAUGGCGUUGGAAAGCUGCUGCGAAACCCCUCCUUCCACAUGUUGAAAGUUUUCUCUAAUUCUCUAUGGAUAAAUAGUAAUUUAGAAAAUCGUAGAAUUUCACAGACCGAACAGCCGAGUAUGUAUUUUCGAUGCCAUUUCUAAACAGCUAAUUCAAUUGAGGCAAAUGAUAUGGUGUUGGAAAGCUUAUGAAAAUGCGCUACUUUUUCAUGGGAAAAGUUUUUUCUAAUUUUGAACGGUUUAAAAGUAAUUUAGAAAAUGAUACAAGUUUCACCGAGUUUGUAUUUUUGAGCUAGUUUUUUAACCGUUCGUCCGAAUGCAGCAAAUGAUAUGACAUUGGAAAGCUUGAGAAAAUGCGAAACUUUUUGGUGUAUAUUUUCUCUCACAAUUCCUUACGGUUUUAAGUCAAUUUUGAAUAUGGACAAAAACGUAUUUUUGCCGUAAUUUCUAGAAACUUACCGGAAUGGCGCAAAUAAUAUACCGUUGAAAAGCUACGAAAAAUGCAAAACUUUUUCAUGUUGAUGGUUUUCUCCGAUUCCUAGCCGUUUUCAAGUAAUUUCGAAAACGGCGAGAUCAUUCGUUCUGCCUCUAUCUCGAAACAGAUUCUUCGAAAAUGCACCGCGUGAAUAACUUGAACUUCUCAGCAUGUCUACUUGAACUUCACUCUGUUUUCACGUGCUUUUUUGCUCAUAGCUCUCCAUCCACUCACCGGAAUUGAGCAAGUGAUAUACCGAUGGAAAGCUGCUGUAAACAUGCAACUUUCCCGUGUUGAUCAUUUUUUUCAUACUCUCGACGAUUUUAAAGUUUUUUAUCUGAAAUUCAUUCAGUGUAGUUGGUGAACUUCCUGCUGUUUUCAUGUUGAACUUCUGUGGCGUAUUUUCGUUUGUAAUUUUCUCAUCCAUUCGUCAGUGUCGCACAAACGAUAUUCCUUUUGUACAAACCUCUCUCACAAUAAUUUUUUAAACUUUCUCCGACCGAGUACUUGACCUUAUAACAAAAAAAAUUAGACCUUGCCUUUUAAUUCAUUUUCUCAUAAUAAACACACACCAUGUAGUACAUGAACUUUUCCCAUUUUUAUAAUUUGAAUUUUUAUUUUCUUUUUGAAAUCAAAUUGCUCCAAAUAAUAACUGAACUUCUUCAGGGAUUGAAAGAAUUGUUUUAAAACUCAAAAAAAAACAAUUUCUUUUUUGUGUUUUUGAACAUGGAAAUACAAGGUGAAUCUCACUCGCAAGAAUUUUUGAACUUCCACGGACAGAGCACUUGAACUUCUCUCAACAAACCUUUUAAGCUUUUAUUUUUCUAUAUACUUUUAUUCUCACCUAAAAUGCAUUCCUUACAGUACUUGAACUUCUCGUUGUUUUCACUAUGAACUUCUAUCACAUUUUUGUGUAUACGUCGAAUUACACACAAUUGAAGGUCGAACGUCAUUUUUUGCCAUUUUAAAACAUGUAAUUGGAGGUCGAACGCCUCGCAAUAUAAAUUCUGAACCGUGCACGGAGGUGUACGUGAACUUCUUGCAACAAAUCUAAGUUUUUUAUAUACUUCGAACUUCUCUGUUAUUUCAAAUUGAACUUCUUAGUCUUAUUCUUAGAAAAAAUGUGUUUUCAAAUAAGCAUCAAACAUUUUUUUAAAAUUGAACCUCAUACUUUUAUUUUCUAUAAAUGGAAAGAAUUUGAGUUUUCCGUAAACAUCAAACUACUCUUUUUAUUUUAAUUUGAACUUCUUUAAUUUUAUUCUUUAGUAACGAAGAAAACCUGUGUUUUUUAUAAAUAUUGAACUUCUUUUUAUAUAAUUUGGAAUUCUUGGUUUAUUUCUUUUAGCAUCAAAAUAUCCUAGUUUUGUCAUAAAUAUUGCAGCCCCUCCACCAUUUUUUAAAUUUUUUGAUUUAUUUGUAAAAACAUAGACACAAAUGGGAGAGAGAAUUAUAUGUGUAUAAAGUGGGUAGCAAUUUCCAACUUUCCCUCGUCGAGCACAUGAACUUCUACAAGAAAUGUUUUUCAUUUUUAUGAGUUGGUUUUAAAAAUGCCAAAAUGGCAUUGGUUUUUGUUUUUGUUUUUUGAACAUGUAAAUCUUAGGUUUUAAUAAACUCCAAACUUCCAUAUUAUUUAAAUUCAAACCUCACGUUGGUUUUAUUUUCUAUUAGCGGUUAGAAUCUGAGUUUUCAAUAAACAAUGAACCGCUCCAUUACUUUAAUUUGAACUUCUAGGUUUCUUUUAGAAACGGGGAAAUCCAUUUACUAAUUAAAUUUUUUAACUUCUUUUUGUUAUUUUAAUUUGAGCACUUGAACUUCUUGUUGAACAAGAGAAACUUUUUGAAUUUUCCAGGUCUGUGCACUUGAACUUCUAGCAACGAAACUUUUUGACUUCGCAUUUUUACUCCUAUUUUCUCAUACGAAACACACACUAUGCAGUACGCGAACUUCCGUCUGUUGUCAAUUUGAACUUCUCUCUAUUUCACUUUACUAACGAAAAAAUCUGAGUUUUUUAUAGACAUCGAACAGCUCUAACUUUUUUUUUCAACUUUUUUGUGUGCUUUUUAGAAAUGUGAAAAAUGGAGUUUUGUUAGAAACAUCCAACUUCCUCAUUAUUUCGAAUAGAUCUUCCUGGUCUUAUUCUUUCGUAACCGAAAAAACUGAGUUUUUCAAAUAAAUAUCAAAUGCUCUGCUUUUGAAAGUUGAACUUCUUUGAAUUUAUUAUUUAGUAAAGAGAAAAAACUGAGUUUUUAAUAUGCAUUGAACUACUCUGUUUUUUAAAAUCGAACUUCGCGAUCUUAAUCUUUAGUAUCGGACAAAAUUUAAGAUUUUUAUAAACAUCAAACAGCUUCCUUUUUUUAAUUAGGACUUCUUUAUGUUAUUUAUUAGCAAAGGGAAAAGUUCUAGUUAUGUAAUAAACAUCGAACCGCUCACUUUUUUAAAUUUUAACUUCUAGAUCUUAAAGAAAAAACAGGGGCAAAUCCAUGUUUACAAACUUUUUAAACUACUCGAUUUUCUUAAUUCGACCUUCUUGGUUUUGGAAUAAAUAUGUUGAACUACUAUGUUAAAUAAUUUGAACUUCUCCAUUUUGUAGUAAAAUAUAGAAACCUCAUUUUUUAUAAACUUUCCAAAUUGCUUCAUUUUUUAUUUUUGAACUUCUUUGUUUAUUCUAUAGUAACAGGGAAUAUCACAAGUUUGUAAUAAACCUUGACCGUCCCAUUAUUUAAAUUUGAACUUCAAGGUAUUUUUCAGAAAUGGUUUAACUUAUAAAACAAAUUUAUGGUUUUUUCCAUUUUCUAUGAACUCACUAUGUUAUAUCUUGUGAAGUCCUGUUUUUUUGUCUCGCGACAUUGUUAGGCAUUUUUGUUGUCGGUGAAAUGGCCUAGGCGGUCCUUUUUCCAUUGAUGAAUUUCUUCACUACAUGGUACACGUGAGCUUAAAUUUUUUUGAAACAUGAACUUCGCAUGCUAUUGAAAAUCAAGAAAAUUACACAACUAUAUACAUACACUUCAUGUGCUGUGUGCACGACCAACACAUUAGCAAGCUUAGUGCCAACAUAUACAUAAGUAGCAGCACACUAAUAUUACAUUGUUUUUGUUCUGAUCAUUCAGAAUGUUGUAUCUUCCAAGAGGAUGGAGAAUGAUAAAUCUACAGGAAGACCAUAUGUAGAAAAGCAACAUCAUAAUCUUUAACCAUGGACAACAGCAAGUUCAAACACAAAACCAAGGACUAUAAUAGCUAAACUCUCAUAGAAAUCUCUCUCUAGCAUUCUAGUUGAACUUCAACAGUAGCGCACCAACAUUAGCUAGAGGGCGAGGCAGGCCGCAGCAACAGCUGCUAACAGCGACCAGCAAAUGGAGGCUGGGUCGUGACGGCGGCACCGAGAUGGAGGAGGUGCCAGGGCAUGGCAGGCAAAAAUAACUGUGAUUGAAUAGUCUCAAUCAGGUAGGUAGGCGUUACAAGAAAAGAAAUAGCAAGUACAUCAAGUUUCAGUGCCUCUUUCACACACAGAUGUACAACAAAAUUGGCAUACCUUCUUAUAUAGAUGAACUUGAACCCCUAAAAACUUGUGAGAUAUGAACAUCUUUCGAAAGCCAUCGACCGCCUCAAAAAAAUCCCUGGAAUCCUCUGACAUCGUGCAUCAAACUUGGUCUUCAGUCUCAAUAAUAUUAUUUCAGAAUCCUUUUUUCAAUCGCCAUCAACAUGGUUGUCAUUGCAGGCAAACUAUCAACUUUACGAUUCUAAAAGUACUAGCUUUUGGCAAAAUGUGUACAAGCUACUCAAGAAAUUGAAGAUAGUUGCAAACAACAUACGAGCUACAGCCUAGCGAUUUUUGCAAGUACGUGAGUGAAGACUUGUGAUUGUUCUGAUUCUGAACUUCACAUUUUUCUGAUUCUGAACUUGUGAUUGUUCUUUUUUCGCAGGGUGCAGUGCAACUGCCGGUGUUGGGAGGCUGGCUUCGCUCCAUCAGGUAGCUUCGUCCACCGCCGCACAGGACGGCGAGGAGGGGAUGAAGGAAAGACAGACCUGGCAGCAAGCGGGGGAGGAGCCGGAGCAGCGCCAUGUCGGGGAUGCAUGGUGUCAGCAGCUAUGUUUUUUAUAAAACCUAAAUCACUUCACAGAACAUAGUUAAAUAUUUUAACAUCACAAAAAGCUAUGUUUUUUUAUACAAGAAGUUGUUUUUCUAGGUAGUAGCACGUGCUUGCGUUGCACACGUUCCUCUACCACACACAUAUUUAUCCUCUCACGUGCUUCCAUUCUCCCCCUGUUUAACUCUGAACUCGUGUUGCACUACCAAAAGCUAACAGCAAAUGCAAUCCUAAUUAACAUACGAUGCAGAGCAUCAUCUCCGGUCAAAGCGAGGAAGCCUUAAUUGACAAAAUUGCAAAAAAUUUGUACUUCCGGCCUUGGGUGUGCUGGGCAGCGGCGGUGCGCUUUUCUUGUUGUUGAAUCCACGAGUGAUCCAACUAACACAAAGUCAAGUUGAACUCCAUGUUUUUUUUAGAGGGAAACCUUGUGUUCAGCAGCCAUGUCCUUGUCGUUUCAAUCGUAUGAACUUCAUAGGAAUUGGGAAUGAAACUCGUGGCUGGUGUUACCUUCUUUUUGCUAGCCAUCUGAUUGAGGAAAGAGAGCACCCGCUGGUUGCCGAGAGAGCCUGGAUCGCGCCAGGAUCUGUUCCAUUCAUGAACACAAACAUAUGAGCUGAGACCACGAGAGAAGCUAAAAGUACACAACUCGAACACCGGUCAUGAAAUUUUCUGCACCGCAAACGUUGUUGAAUCCAUUUCUUUAACUGUUAAGAACGGAUGGUUUUCUUUUGUCAACGAUCUCUUCUAACAUAUGUGCUAAAACUGCUAAAAAUGAGCAUUUUUGCUAUAAUGCAUAUAAUGAACCUCUUAAUUUCAGACAUGAAAACUAAAUAAUUGUGUUUAUACGCAGUCGAACUGAUUCACAGAGGAGAUGAGGAGGUUGACAGAGAGAGAUGGUUGCAGCCGAAGCCGGUAUAGGCGGCUGGCCGCGCCACCGAAGCGCCGGUGAAAGGGAGUGCCGUCGCCAACAGCGGGAGAUGAGGCACGUGGAGGCACAGGGUCAGCGGCCGCUGGCUCGAGGAAUAGCAUGUAAAAACCAAAACUGAAAAAUUCAGUACACAUUCUGUCGAACAUGAAAACUAGAAAAUUCUGUUCAUCUUCAGAAAGGAAGAUGCUGUAGCAACUAGAUUUGUAGGAGAAGCAUCAUGCUAGAAUAAGUUAGACUGCACAUAUUCUUCUUUUGUGAACUUCUGCAACUAUAUGCAGGUCGUGGGGAGGUGAGCGGCGGCAGCACACGCGAGCAUGGUCGCUUCUAUACAUUAUACAUUGCUGCUAACCAAAAUCACAAAACAUGCUGAACGUGUAUGGGAUGGAAGUGGUGUGCUCAGCCUCACCUUGACUGUUGUGGACUGCUGCUCGCGAUGGCCUCGACCUCCCUGACACAGCGCGGCUGGACUGGGAUGGCGCUUGGUUUCGUUGGGUUAAUCGGGAGGAGGCGGAGGUGUGGUAUUCAGGAUGAGGAAGAAGGGCGGCGCGGGAGUUCCACCUGGAGGAAGAAGGGCGCCUGAGGCUAGGAUGGUUGGGGCGACGCCGGUUGAUUCGGGGGAAGGGGAGGGGUAGCGCGGUGGCGGAGGAAGCCAGAUCCGAGCGCGCCGGGAGGGAUGACAGAGUGUGAUUGGGACGGAUAGGCAGCAAGAGGAGGCGCGCGACCUCUGCGCCCUGCAGGGGCGGUGCUGGUCGCCGGUGGAGGUCCAGCAGCUGGAGACACGCUGGGAUCCGAGGCGGGCGACGCGAGGCGUGCUGGGGACGAGGGGCAGGCGGGGGUUGGACGGCGACGGGAGGCUCGCCGGGGCAGUGGGAGCGGCGGCGGGAGGCGCGGCAGGGCCAGGGAGGCAGCGGCGGGAGGCGCACCGGAGCCAGGGGCCGGCAGCGGAAGGCAGUCGGGCGGA
RNAcentral lists this long non-coding RNA (12226 nucleotides) under Triticum aestivum (bread wheat). RNAcentral's name for it is "long non-coding RNA (TAES_LNC008702)". Lineage: Eukaryota; Viridiplantae; Streptophyta; Magnoliopsida; Poales; Poaceae. The record is from RNAcentral.